AUUGAACGCUGGCGGCAGGCCUAAUACAUGCAAGUCGAGCGAGCGGCGGACGGGUGAGUAAUGUCUGGUAAACUGCCUGUUGGCUGGGGAUAACUACUGGAAACGGUAGCUAAUACCGCAUUCCAUCAGAUGUGCCCAGAUGGGAUUAGCUAGUCGGGGGGGUAAAGGCCUACCUAGGCGACGAUCUGCAGCGGGGCUGAGAGGAGGAUCCGCCAAACUGGGAAUGAGAAACGGCACAUACGCCUACGGGAGGCAGCAGUGGGGAAUAUUGGGCAAUGGGAGGAAACGUGAACCGGUCAUGCCGCGUGUGUGAAGAAGGGUUUAUGGUUGUAAAGAACUUUAAGCGAGGAGACGGUACUCACAGAAUAAGCACCGGCUAACUCCGUGCCAGCAGCCGCGGUAAUUC
Molecule: ribosomal RNA, 406 nt
Filed under: uncultured bacterium
Lineage: Bacteria
Description: partial 16S ribosomal RNA
Rfam family: Bacterial small subunit ribosomal RNA
Source: RNAcentral